This 393-nucleotide ribosomal RNA is filed under the name uncultured bacterium. RNAcentral describes it as "partial 16S ribosomal RNA". It matches the Rfam family "Bacterial small subunit ribosomal RNA", at positions 523 to 918 of the family's 1533-position model. The record is from RNAcentral.
AUACGUAGGGGGCGAGCGUUGUCCGGAAUGAUUGGGCGUAAAGGGCGCGUAGGCGGCGCGGUAAGUCUGGAGUGAAAGUCCUGCUUUCAAGGUGGGAAUUGCUUUGGAUACUGCCGCGCUUGAGUGCAGGAGAGGUUAUCGGAAUUCCCGGUGUAGCGGUGAAAUGCGUAGAGAUCGGGAGGAACACCAGUGGCGAAGGCGGGUAACUGGACUGCAACUGACGCUGAGGCGCGAAAGUGUGGGGAGCAAACAGGAUUAGAUACCCUGAUAGUCCACGCUGUAAACGAUGAGUGCUAGGUGUUGGGUAGCGAUACUCAGUGCCGUAGUAAACACAAUAAGCACUCCGCCUGGGGAGUACGUACGCAAGUAUGAAACUCAAAUGAAUUGACGGGG